RNA transcript from Musa acuminata AAA Group (dessert banana), 1261 nucleotides. It is a transcript of the gene named ATP-dependent Clp protease proteolytic subunit-related protein 4, chloroplastic-like, with no coding region annotated. The transcript is spliced from 8 exons. Lineage: Eukaryota; Viridiplantae; Streptophyta; Magnoliopsida; Zingiberales; Musaceae. The record is from RefSeq and is a predicted model, not a curated record.
GAUAGGGGCCAUGGAAGUCGCCUUGUCCUCGCAACGAUUGGUCUCCGCCGACUCUCCCCAAAUGCUCUCCAUCUCUCCCAGAUCGCAGGGCAGCGGCAGGUGGGCACCGAAGAGAGCGGCUUUCGGCCGGCCCCCGGUGGCCUCCUCCUCGAGGUCUUGUUCCCUCGGCAGCAGCCUCGUUUCCUCUCCUUUUGUCUGCGGUAGCGUUCACGGCGACUUCAAUGGGCUUAAGAUUAGGCUUCCGUCGCUGAAGCUGCCGGUCGUAUCCACUGGCCGCCGACCCACAAGGGGUGUCGUUACCAUGGUUAUUCCUUUCUUGAGAGGAAAUGCUUGGGAGCAACCACCUCCUGAUCUCGCUUCUUACUUGUACAAAAAUCGAAUUGUAUAUUUGGGCAUGUCUCUUGUUCCAUCAGUGACGGAGUUGAUGAUGGCAGAAUUUCUUUACCUUCAAUAUGAAGAUGUAGAAAAGCCGAUUUACCUAUACAUAAAUUCCACUGGAACAACAAAGGGUGGGGAGAAAUUGGGCUAUGAGACAGAGGCUUUUGCAAUUUACGAUGUCAUGAGUUAUGUGAAACCACCAAUCUUCACACUCUGUGUUGGCAAUGCUUGGGGAGAAGCUGCACUACUCUUGGCUGCUGGUUCUAAAGGAAACCGUGCUGCUCUACCGUCAUCAACAAUAAUGAUAAAGCAGCCUAUUGCAAGAUUUCAAGGUCAAGCUACAGAUGUUGAACUUGCAAGAAAAGAAAUAAGAAAUGUGAAGGCUGAAUUGGUUGGCUUAUACUCGAAGCAUAUAGGAAAAUCUCGUGAGCAAAUCGAGGAAGAUAUCAGACGUCCGAAAUAUUUCAGUCCUAGUGAAGCAGUUGAAUAUGGUAUCAUUGAUAAGGUAUUGUACAAUGAAAGAGGACGCGAAGAUCGGAGUGUUGUUUCAGAUCUUAAAAAAGCUCAACUUAUAUAGACUGCUGAAUCUAAGACUUGCGACAAAGAAUUUUAAGAAUGUAUUAUGUGAUUAUAUUUACAGAUGCAAGCUGCAUUUUGUUUUAUGUCGGUACAAGUCCGAUGUGGUGGUGGUGGCAAUCAGCAGCAAUCGGAGAGCAAGUAACGGUCCUCACAUGUGCCUCUCGUUUGAUCAGCACGAACAACGGUCUCAUCCUUUCAUUUUUGUUGAUUUUUAGGCCUCAACGAGUAAUAAUUUUUGUUUUUGCUCUAUAUCUGUUCUAUAUGACUUGCGACACAUUGCAGGAAAAAUUCAGCUAUUUUUUUA